RNAcentral lists this small nuclear RNA (111 nucleotides) under Peromyscus maniculatus bairdii (prairie deer mouse). The record is from RNAcentral. Lineage: Eukaryota; Metazoa; Chordata; Mammalia; Rodentia; Cricetidae.
GUGCUCGCUUCAGCAGCACAUGUACUAAAACCGGAACCAUACAGAGAAGACUAGAAUGGCUCCUGCACAAGGAUGACAGACACACACAUUUAUGAAGUGCCCCAUAUUAAA